Molecule: non-coding RNA, 121 nt
Filed under: Fragilariopsis kerguelensis
Lineage: Eukaryota; Bacillariophyta; Bacillariophyceae; Bacillariales; Bacillariaceae
Source: RNAcentral
ACAAUCAAAUGAAAAAUAGGUAUCAGCAAAGAAGGAAGGAGAGGAAGAGAGAGCGUAUUUUUUUAUCCAUACCCGCUCUCCCGUUGUUCCAACAUCAUUCUUCUUCUUCUUCUUCUUUCUU